CGAAGGGUGCAAGCGUUACUCGGAAUACUGGGCGUAAAGCGUGCGUAGGUGGUUCGUUAAGUCUGUCGUGAAAGCCCCGGGCUCAACCUGGGAAUGGCGAUGGAUACUGGCGGGCUAGAGUGCGGUAGAGGAGAGUGGAAUUCCCGGUGUAGCAGUGAAAUGCGUAGAGAUCGGGAGGAACAUCAGUUGCGAAGGCGGCUCUCUGGACCAGCACUGACACUGAGGCACGAAAGCGUGGGGAGCAAACAGGAUUAGAUACCCUGGUAGUCCACGCCCUAAACGAUGCGAACUGGACGUUGGGAGCAAUCAGGCUCUCAGUGUCGAAGCUAACGCGUUAAGUUCGCCGCCUGGGGAGUACGGUCGCAAGACUG
This 371-nucleotide ribosomal RNA is filed under the name uncultured organism. RNAcentral's name for it is "bacterial SSU rRNA". It matches the Rfam family "Bacterial small subunit ribosomal RNA", at positions 526 to 896 of the family's 1533-position model. The record is from RNAcentral.